CCUAUACUAAAAUUAGAAUGAUACAGAGAUUAGCAUGGCCCCUGCACAAGGAUGACAUGCAAAUUCAUGAAGAAUUCCACAUGAAA
This is a small nuclear RNA of Vulpes vulpes (red fox), 86 nucleotides long. The record is from Ensembl. NCBI's taxonomy places the organism in Eukaryota, Metazoa, Chordata, Mammalia, Carnivora, Canidae.